AAUAAUCUACUCUGUAUGUCGCUUUGGAUAAAAGCGUCUGCUAAAUGUAAUGUA
This is a non-coding RNA of Larimichthys crocea (large yellow croaker), 54 nucleotides long. Lineage: Eukaryota; Metazoa; Chordata; Actinopteri; Sciaenidae. The record is from Rfam.